Molecule: ribosomal RNA, 460 nt
Filed under: uncultured bacterium
Lineage: Bacteria
Description: partial 16S ribosomal RNA
Rfam family: Bacterial small subunit ribosomal RNA
Source: RNAcentral
CCUACGGUGGACUGCAGUGAGGAAUAUUGGUCAAUGGGCGGGAGCCUGAACCAGCCAAGUCGCGUGAGGGAAGACGGUCCUAUGGAGUGUAAACCUCUUUAGGCGGGGAGCAAUGCCGGGCACGCGUGCCCGGAGGGAGAGUACCCGCAGAAUAAGCAUCGGCUAAAUCCGGGCCAGCAGCCGCGGUAAUACGGAGGAUGCGAGCGUUAUCCGGAUUUAAUGGGUUGAAAGGGUGCGUAGGCGGAUUUUUAAGUCAGCGGUAAAAUGUCCGGGCUCAACCCGGGCCGGCCGCUGAAACUGGGGAUCUUGAGUGGGCGAGAAGUAUGCGGAAUGCGUGGUGUAGCGGUGAAAUGCAUAGAUAUCACGCAGAACUCCGAUUGCGAAGGCAGCAUACCGGCGCCCGACUGACGCUGAGGCACGAAAGCGUGGGGAUCGAACAGGAUUAGAUACCCGUGUAGUC